CGUUACCCGGGCCCGUUGUACACACCGCCCGUCACACCACGGAAGCCGGAGACACCCGAAGCCCGUGGCCCAACCCGCAAGGGAGGGAGCGGUCGAAGGUGGAGUUGGUGACUGGGGUG
Molecule: ribosomal RNA, 119 nt
Filed under: uncultured bacterium
Lineage: Bacteria
Description: partial 16S ribosomal RNA
Rfam family: Bacterial small subunit ribosomal RNA
Source: RNAcentral